UUACACAUAGCAAGUCGAACGGCAGCACGGGGCAACCUGGGUGGCGAGUGGCGAACGGGUGAGUAAUGCAUCGGAACGUGCCAUUGAGUGGGGGGUAACGUAGCGAAAGUUACGCUAAUACCGCAUAUUCUGUGAGCAGGAAAGCAGGGGAUCGCAAGACCUUGCGCUCUUUGAGCGGCCGAUGUCAGAUUAGCUAGUUGGUGAGGUAACGGCUUACCAAGGCGACGAUCUGUAGCGGGUCUGAGAGGAUGAUCCGCCACACUGGAACUGAGACACGGUCCAGACUCCUACGGGAGGCAGCAGUGGGGAAUUUUUGGACAAUGGGGGCAACCCUGAUCCAGCCAUGCCGCGUGAGUGAAGAAGGCCUUCGGGUUGUAAAGCUCUUUCGGCCGGGAAGAAAUCGCAUGGGUUAAUACCCUGUGUGGAUGACGGUACCGGCAUAAGAAGCACCGGCUAACUACGUG
RNAcentral lists this ribosomal RNA (464 nucleotides) under uncultured bacterium. Its description in RNAcentral is "bacterial SSU rRNA". It matches the Rfam family "Bacterial small subunit ribosomal RNA", at positions 49 to 507 of the family's 1533-position model. The record is from RNAcentral.